CCCUUAGAUGUUCGGGGCCGCACGCGCGCUACACUGAAGGAAUCAGCACGUCUUUCUCCUUGUCCGAAAGGACUGGGUAACCCGCUGAACCUCCUUCGUGCUAGGGAUUGGGGCUUGUAAUUCUUCCCCAUGAACGAGGAAUUCCCAGUAAGCGUGAGUCAUAAGCUCGCGUUGAUUACGUCCCUGCCCUUUGUACACACCGCCCGUCGCUACUACCGAUUGGAUGGUUUAGUGAGAUCCUCGGAUUGGUCCCGGAGCGGCCUCUGGUCGUGCCGGAGUGCCGAAAAGAAUGUCGAACUUGAUCAUCUAGAGGAAGUAAAAGUCGUAACA
Molecule: ribosomal RNA, 330 nt
Filed under: uncultured eukaryote
Lineage: Eukaryota
Description: partial 18S ribosomal RNA
Rfam family: Eukaryotic small subunit ribosomal RNA
Source: RNAcentral